AUUGAACGCUGGCGGCAGGCCUAACACAUGCAAGUCGAGCGGCUGAGGGGAGCUUGCUCCUGGAUUCAGCGGCGGACGGGUGAGUAAUGCCUAGGAAUCUGCCUGGUAGUGGGGGAUAACGUCCGGAAACGGGCGCUAAUACCGCAUACGUCCUGAGGGAGAAAGUGGGGGAUCUUCGGACCUCACGCUAUCAGAUGAGCCUAGGUCGGAUUAGCUAGUUGGUGGGGUAAAGGCCUACCAAGGCGACGAUCCGUAACUGGUCUGAGAGGAUGAUCAGUCACACUGGAACUGAGACACGGUCCAGACUCCUACGGGAGGCAGCAGUGGGGAAUAUUGGACAAUGGGCGAAAGCCUGAUCCAGCCAUGCCGCGUGUGUGAAGAAGGUCUUCGGAUUGUAAAGCACUUUAAGUUGGGAGGAAGGGCAGUAAGUUAAUACCUUGCUGUUUUGACGGUACCAACAGAAUAAGCACCGGCUAACUUCGUG
This 484-nucleotide ribosomal RNA is filed under the name uncultured bacterium. RNAcentral describes it as "partial 16S ribosomal RNA". It matches the Rfam family "Bacterial small subunit ribosomal RNA", at positions 30 to 507 of the family's 1533-position model. The record is from RNAcentral.